GUUUUAUCAGAAUCUGACUGUUACGUCUGUGUUGCCUAAUCCUCUCCUGAAGUUUUCUUUCUAGCAAUAAUUUUGAAGAGAUUCCUGAAGGGAAUGAAUGGCAGCCAACAUUUUUCAUACCUUACAGAACGUCUUCUCAUGGUCACCAGGCACUGUGACAAUAACUAACCGCCAUUUCUGGACAGGUGACCUACCUCGUCCAACUAGGAUUCUCUGCCCAAAGUUUUGACUGCAGCCAUUAGCAUCUGGAGACAUUUCAACAGAGAUCUUGUGGGACAUCCCACAUCAAGUCUAUAUCAGAUGAAAGGAUACUUAAUACCUAAUGCUGAAUGUGCCUAUUAGUGCUUAUGGAUGAGCUUGCCAUGAGAGUUGUAAAACUGUAAUUUAGAACAUGAAACUCUCCAGUGUAAAAUCAUUCAUAUAAGGAAUGUUAAGGAAGAUCCACACUCACUCACUGGUGACUGGCCCCAUUGAAUUACCUAAAGGCCCACAAGAACCAAAAAAGAAAAACACAGGGGAAAGAAAGAAAAGGAGAAAGGGGCCAAAGAAUCUCAAAUGUAUUGUGACCCUUUAAUCUCGGAGAUGAAGAGAAGAAUGUUCGAAAUACAGAAAGGGCAGUAUGAAACCUAACAGAACAACAGGAAAUUACUGAAAUGUGGCCUUGUAGUAAAACUGUAGCCUGACCACAUCCGGAUAUGUUGGAACAUGUGGAUUUAGACAUUAUCUCAUUUUAAAUCUUGUAGGCUUCAGUGGCAAUGAAUUUUGGACCUAUGGACUUCAUAAAUGUAACUCAGAAAAAGUAUUUUGAAAUUAUUUUACAUGACUUCCGUUUUAGUUACUUUUAUCAUAGCUGAGACAAAAUUCCCAAACCUACAAGUUAAGGGAAGAAAGGUUUAUUUGGCUCACAGCUUGAAGAGGUUUCAUUCUAUAGUUUGCUGGAUCCAAAGAAGGCUGUCUCGGCAGACAGGCAUCGCAGCUGAGAAAGUUCAUGGUGGGCAGAAGGUAGCAAAGGAAGCAGGGACAAGACAAACCUCUUUCUGUGCCUUAUAUCCAGGCUACCAGGACUAGUGUGGUGCCAAACCAAUCCUUGGACUGAUUUAGGAAUCACCCACCCUUAAUGCUAGCACCUUAACCCUAGCAUGGUACCUUGAAUCAAUCACACACUCUAGAUUCAGCCAUCUCUGGAAAUCCCCACCUAGCUCUGCAGGUGAUUUUGGGGAGAGAUCUGGACAUAAGCCCUAACAACCUCACUCAUUAACAAAGUUGUCAUAGCAAAACCUUGGAAACAAUCCAAAUGCUUAUCAACUGAGGAAUGGAUCAA
Molecule: long non-coding RNA, 1321 nt
Organism: Chinchilla lanigera (long-tailed chinchilla)
Lineage: Eukaryota; Metazoa; Chordata; Mammalia; Rodentia; Chinchillidae
Exons: 4
Source: RefSeq, a predicted model, not a curated record